This 447-nucleotide ribosomal RNA is filed under the name uncultured bacterium. RNAcentral's name for it is "bacterial SSU rRNA". It matches the Rfam family "Bacterial small subunit ribosomal RNA", at positions 29 to 524 of the family's 1533-position model. The record is from RNAcentral.
AACGAACGCUGGCGGCAGGCCUAACACAUGCAAGUCGAGCGCCCCGCAAGGGGAGCGGCGGACGGGUGAGUAACGCGUGGAACGUGCCUCUUGCUAUGGAAUAGCCUCGGGAAACUGGGAGUAAUACCGUAUGUGCCCCACGGGGGAAAGAUUUAUCGGCAAGAGAUCGGCCCGCGUUGGAUUAGGUAGUUGGUGGGGUAAUGGCCUACCAAGCCGACGAUCCAUAGCUGGUUUGAGAGGAUGAUCAGCCACACUGGGACUGAGACACGGCCCAGACUCCUACGGGAGGCAGCAGUGGGGAAUCUUAGACAAUGGGCGCAAGCCUGAUCUAGCCAUGCCGCGUGAGCGAUGAAGGCCUUAGGGUUGUAAAGCUCUUUCAGUGGGGAAGAUAAUGACUGUACCCACAGAAGAAGCCCCGGCUAACUCCGUGCCAGCAGCCGCGGUAAU